AGAUUGAACGCUGGCGGCAUGCCUUACACAUGCAAGUCGAACGGCAGCACGGGGGCAACCCUGGUGGCGAGUGGCGAACGGGUGAGUAAUGCAUCGGAACGUGCCCAGUAGUGGGGGGAUAACUAGUCGAAAGAUUAGCUAAUACCGCAUACGACCUAUGGGUGAAAGCGGGGGAUUCGCAAGAACCUCGCGCUAUCGGAGCGGCCGAUGUCUGAUUAGCUAGUUGGCGGGUAAAAGCCCACCAAGGCUUCGAUCAGUAGCUGGUCUGAGAGGACGACCAGCCACACUGGGACUGAGACACGGCCCAGACUCCUACGGGAGCAGCAGUGGGAAUUUUGGACAAGUGGGCGACGAAGCCUGAUCCAGCCAUCGCCGCGUGCGGGAAGAACGGCCCUCGGUUACGUAAACCGUCGUUUUAGGCGAAGGAACCGAAACGGCGACGAGCCGAAUACGUCGUCGACGUUAAUCGAACCGGUACC
This 479-nucleotide ribosomal RNA is filed under the name uncultured soil bacterium. RNAcentral's name for it is "bacterial SSU rRNA". It matches the Rfam family "Bacterial small subunit ribosomal RNA", at positions 26 to 515 of the family's 1533-position model. The record is from RNAcentral.